GGUUAAGCGACUAAGCGUACACGGUGGAUGCCCUGGCAGUCAGAGGCGAUGAAGGGCGUGCUAAUCUGCGAUAAGCGCCGGUAAGGUGAUAUGAACCGUUAUAACCGGCGAUACCCGAAUGGGGAAACCCAGUGUGACUCGUCACACUAUCAUUAACUGAAUCCAUAGGUUAAUGAGGCGAACCGGGGGAACUGAAACAUCUAAGUACCCCGAGGAAAAGAAAUCAACCGAGAUUCCCCCAGUAGCGGCGAGCGAACGGGGAGGAGCCCAGAGCCUGAAUCAGCAUGUGUGUUAGUGGAAGCGUCUGGAAAGGCGCGCGAUACAGGGUGACAGCC
RNAcentral lists this ribosomal RNA (335 nucleotides) under Salmonella enterica. RNAcentral's name for it is "partial 23S ribosomal RNA". It matches the Rfam family "Bacterial large subunit ribosomal RNA", at positions 1 to 372 of the family's 2925-position model. Lineage: Bacteria; Pseudomonadati; Pseudomonadota; Gammaproteobacteria; Enterobacterales; Enterobacteriaceae. RNAcentral also lists the same sequence under 5 other names. The record is from RNAcentral.